This 442-nucleotide ribosomal RNA is filed under the name uncultured bacterium. Its description in RNAcentral is "partial 16S ribosomal RNA". It matches the Rfam family "Bacterial small subunit ribosomal RNA", at positions 338 to 795 of the family's 1533-position model. The record is from RNAcentral.
CCUACGGGUGGCAGCAGUGGGGAAUAUUGGGCAAUGGGCGCAAGCCUGACCCAGCAACGCCGCGUGAAGGAAGAAGGCUUUCGGGUUGUAAACUUCUUUUGUCAGGGAAGAGUAGAAGACGGUACCUGACGAAUAAGCCACGGCUAACUACGUGCCAGCAGCCGCGGUAAUACGUAGGUGGCAAGCGUUGUCCGGAUUUAAUGGGUGUAAAGGGCGUGUAGCCGGGUUGACAAGUCAGAUGUGAAAUCCUGCGGCUUAACCGCAGAACUGCAUUUGAAACUGUAGAUCUUGAGUACUGGAGAGGCAGGUGGAAUUCCAGGUGUAGCGGUGAAAUGCGUAGAGAGAAGGAGGAACACCAGUGGCGAAGGCGGUCUGCUGGUCAGCAACUGACGGUGAGGUGCGAAAGCGUGGGGAGCAAACAGGAUUAGAUACCCGUGUAGUC